Molecule: ribosomal RNA, 253 nt
Filed under: uncultured bacterium
Lineage: Bacteria
Description: partial 16S ribosomal RNA
Rfam family: Bacterial small subunit ribosomal RNA
Source: RNAcentral
UACAGAGGGGGCAAGCGUUAUUCGGAAUUAUUGGGCGUAAAGGGCGCGUAGGCGGCUUUGCAAGUGGCGGGUGAAAUCCCUCGGCUUAACCGGGGAACUGCCUGUCAGACUGGGAGGCUUGAGACCGGGAGAGGUGAGUGGAAUUCCCAGUGUAGCGGUGAAAUGCGUAGAUAUUGGGAGGAACACCAGUGGCGAAGGCGGCUCACUGGACCGGUACUGACGCUGAUGCGCGAAAGCGUGGGGAGCAAACAGG